AGUGGCGGACGGGUGAGUAACACGUUGGAACCUGCCCCGAAGAGGGGGAUAACCAUCCGAAAGGGUGGCUAAUACCCCAUAUACUCCGAUUUAUUCGGAGGAAAGCUUUCGCGCUUCGGGAGGGGCCUGCGUAACAUUAGCUUGUUGGUGAGGUAAAAGCUCACCAAGGCUACGAUGUUUAGCUGGUUUGAGAGGAUGAUCAGCCACACUGGGACUGAGAUACGGCCCAGACUCCUACGGGAGGCAGCAGUGAGGAAUAUUCCACAAUGGGGGAAACCCUGAUGGAGCGAUGCCGCGUGCAGGAAGACGCUUUUCGGAGUGUAAACUGCUUUUAACAGGGAAGAUUAUGACGGUACCUGUAGAAUAAGGACCGGCUAACUACGUGCCAGCAGCCGCGGUAAUACGUAGGGUCCAAGCGUUAUUCGGAAUUACUGGGCGUAAAGCGUUCGUAGGCGGUUUUGUAAGUUGGAUGUGAAAUCCUGUGGCUCAACCACAUG
This 497-nucleotide ribosomal RNA is filed under the name uncultured bacterium. Its description in RNAcentral is "bacterial SSU rRNA". It matches the Rfam family "Bacterial small subunit ribosomal RNA", at positions 94 to 619 of the family's 1533-position model. The record is from RNAcentral.